RNAcentral lists this small nucleolar RNA (134 nucleotides) under Dasypus novemcinctus (nine-banded armadillo). RNAcentral describes it as "Small nucleolar RNA SNORA31 (ENSDNOG00000040350.1)". It matches the Rfam family "Small nucleolar RNA SNORA31". From Rfam's summary of the family: ACA31 (SNORA31) belongs to the H/ACA class of snoRNAs which are thought to guide the sites of modification of uridines to pseudouridines. ACA31 is predicted to guide the pseudouridylation of U3713 in 28S rRNA and U218 in 18S rRNA. This family includes the mouse homologue snoMBI-161. Lineage: Eukaryota; Metazoa; Chordata; Mammalia; Cingulata; Dasypodidae. The record is from RNAcentral.
AUGCAUCUCUGACAGACCCGGAGCAGUUAAUAUCUGCUGUUAAGGUUUCCACUAUAUUUGCAAGGAAAAGGAAGUCCACGUGCUUUCUGUCUUGUCUGGUUGUGGCAGCCAAGAUUGAAUGGGGGAAGACAGGA